GAUGAACGCUGGCGGCGUGCCUAAUACAUGCAAGUCGAGCGAACAGACGAGGAGCUUGCUCCUCUGACGUUAGCGGCGGACGGGUGAGUAACACGUGGAUAACCUACCUAUAAGACUGGGAUAACUUCGGGAAACCGGAGCUAAUACCGGAUAAUAUAUUGAACCGCAUGGUUCAAUAGUGAAAGACGGUUUUGCCGUCACUUAUAGAUGGAUCCGCGCCGCAUUAGCUAGUUGGUAAGGUAACGGCUUACCAAGGCAACGAUGCGUAGCCGACCUGAGAGGGUGAUCGGCCACACUGGAACAGAGACACGGGCCAGACUCCUACGGGAGGCAGCAGUAGGGAAUCUUCCGCAAUGGGCGAAAGCCUGACGGAGAAACGCCGCGUGAGUGAUGAAGGGCUUCGGAUCGUAAAACUCUGUUAUUAGGGAAGAACAAAUGUGUAAGUAACUAUGCACGUCUUGACGGUACCUAAUCAGAAAGCCACGGCUAACUACGU
This 496-nucleotide ribosomal RNA is filed under the name uncultured bacterium. RNAcentral describes it as "partial 16S ribosomal RNA". It matches the Rfam family "Bacterial small subunit ribosomal RNA", at positions 28 to 506 of the family's 1533-position model. The record is from RNAcentral.